UCUUUCUUCAGUGGAAAUUAACCUGACAAAUGAUUAUUAUGUAAGUGGAGGUGGCUUAGACACUGUAUUCAAAGCAAGCAAGAUCACUUUUCACUGGGGAAAAUGCAACGCAUCAUCAGAUGGAUCAGAACAUAGUUUGGAAGGACAAAAAUUUCCUCUUGAGAUGCAAAUCUACUGCUAUGAUGCAGAUCAAUUUACAAGUUUUGAAGAGGCAAUUAAAGGAAAUGGAAAGCUAAGAGCUUUAUCAAUUCUGUUUGAGAUUGGACUAGAAGAUAAUCCGGAUUAUAUU
This is a long non-coding RNA of Oxyura jamaicensis (ruddy duck), 289 nucleotides long. RefSeq lists it as uncharacterized. The transcript is spliced from 3 exons. NCBI's taxonomy places the organism in Eukaryota, Metazoa, Chordata, Aves, Anseriformes, Anatidae. The record is from RefSeq and is a predicted model, not a curated record.